GUGGGGUAAUAUCCCACAAGUCUUA
RNAcentral lists this transfer RNA (25 nucleotides) under Uperoleia rugosa (wrinkled toadlet). RNAcentral's name for it is "partial tRNA-Ala". Lineage: Eukaryota; Metazoa; Chordata; Amphibia; Anura; Myobatrachidae. The record is from RNAcentral.